UUAGAAAUUAUUUCACAAAAAAAAAAAAAAAAAAAAAAAAAUUAUAAACUUUUCUAAUUCAUCAUUCCUGUGUAGUCAAUUUAAAGUCAGUUAAAUUCUACAGCGAAACAUAUUCUAGCUUGCCAUGACAAUGGAUAUACGGAUGUUGAUCAAACUUUGGUUGAAGUUUUGAUAGGCAGAAUAAAUUACUUGGUACAGGUUCAGUUGAAAGUAAGAAAUAUUUGUGAGCCUGUAAGUUUUUGUCUUUAUAAUGUCCUUCCUUUCCUUCUCAAUAAAGUGUAAUCAUGCAACUGUUCAUAUUUAAGCUGUAAUCAUAUUUUUAUUAUAUUGGUUUUGUUUAUGUUUACAAUUGUAAAAUAUUCCUGCUUUACAUCAAGAAAUCGUUCCCACUUUUUAAAUCUGUUCAGCAUAUAAGUACAUGUGUUGAGAUUAUUAAUGAUUCGUGUUUGAAUGUUAUAUCUUUUGUUUAUGCACUGUAAGUGUAAGCUUGUUGCUUCUAUCAUCAAAUACCAAAGAAAAUUACUUUUGUUAAGUUUGAAAGUGAAAUUAACUUGAAAUAAUACUUUAUCGUUGCUAAAAGCUUCCUUAUUAAGUUUUUGUUAUAAUUUGUAUUGUUUUAAAUAGUAUCCUGUCUUUUAAAGUAUGUAUUCUGAUUAAUUAACCUUGUGAUAUCUGUUUAUGUAUGUAUCAAUAAUAUUUGUUUGUGAGCCACAUUGUACAAAUAUGUAAGAGUCAAACUUUACUAAUUUGUUUGUGAGCCACAUUGUACAAAUAUGUUGAAGUCAAACUCUACAAAUUUGUGUGUGAGUCACAUUGUACAAAUAUGUUUGAGUCAAACUUUACAAAUUUGUUUUGUGAGUCACAUUGUACAAAUAUGUUAGAGUCAAAUUUUACAAAUUUGUUUGUGAGUCACAUUCUACAAAUAUGUUGGAGUCAAACUUUACAAAUUUGUUUUGUGAGUCACAUUGUACAAAUAUGUUAGAGUCAAACUUUACAAAUUUGUUUGUGAGUCACAUUGUACAAAUGUUUGCAAGUGGUACUGUAAAUUUAUUUGUGAGUUACAAAUGUUUGUGAAUCAAAUCAUACAAAUACUUUAAUGACUAACAUUGAAGGUAUUUGAGACAAACUGUAGAUUUGUUUGUGAAUCACUUUGUACAAAUUUGUUUGCGAAUCACAUUGUACACUCUGCUUGCCAUUCACAUUACAAAUUUAUUUGUGAAUUAAAUUGAACAAAUGUGUUAGCACAUCACAUCAUACAAAUUUGUGAAUGAAAUUUUACAAAUUUACUUGUAAGUAACCUUGUACAAAUUUGUUUGCUUUACUAAAUUGUAUGGAACAUCUUGAUCAAAUCAAUGCAUAUAUAUAUAUAUAAUUGUAUAUAUUUUGUUUGUAAAGUAUGAAAUACAAAAGUUCUAUUUGUUAACAGUGUAUAAUUUUGUGAAUACUACGACCACAAAUAACAUGCAUGCUCAUGUUGAUUACUGGUAAUCAGAUCUUUAUAAACAUCCUUGGAAAUUAAUGGUCUUUUUUCAGUUACUGGUUUACCACCUACAUGACUCUGUCUAUAGCUAGGUUUCGUCUCACUAACUCUAGUCAGUGUUCUGUCGAUGGUUUACCACCUACAUGACUCCGCCUAUUGCUACUUUUUGUCUCACUGACUGUAGUCAGUGUUCUAUCAGUAUUAGUUAGUCAUUACAGGUGAGACUUCUACGCAUAUAAAAUGUAAAUGUUUUUUGCAAAUACAACAUGUAUUCAUGAAAUCAUCAACUCGAUAUAAAAAAUAUCAACAUUUUGGUGCCUAGCUUUUUCCCUGAAGUUGUCACAACAAAUAUUUAGAAAUCAAUCUGUGACAAUGAAAUUGUAGUGUAUGUAAUACCACAAAACAAUAGGGACAUAUGGUUAUUACAAAUCUGACUCUAGGUGUCCACAACACCAAUAAUGUACAUGUAUUUCAUAUGUGCUGGUUAAUAUCUUGCCAACAAGUAUUUUCAAGAUUUAAUUGGAGAAUCAAAAAGCUUUUUCUUGUAUUUUAUGGUUAGAUUUCGUGCUUAAAGAGAAAACAUUACUGUAUUUACUUUUUAUGACUUUUAUGAAAAUCAAAAAUCCUAUUCAAAAAUUGAAUUUUCAAAUUGUAUUUCAGUGAUAAGCAAUCAAAGAUUCUUUGUCUUCAGUGAUUAAUGAAUAUAAUUUUCAUCAAAUCUGUAUAUUAAUUAAAUUUGAUAUCAAAGAUAAUCUAUGAUCAGAAUCUCUAUCUUUAGGAUAUGCACAGCUUACCAAAUUAUCAAUCAAGGAUACAAUACUCCUAAAUGAUCAUGGCCCAGUUGUUCAAAAGGUGAUUAGCCUAAAUCACUUACUUAGUGAAAAUCUCAUUUCUCUUUAAAUUCAAAACCUCUGUGUGAAUAUUCCUUACACAAGACAGUUAGGAAGAGACUGAAGCGUGUUAUAAAGAGUUUUGUAAAAUUUUGCUAGUUUUACCAGAAAUGAUUUUAUCAGGAUUUUAAAAUUGUUAAACAAUUGUUAAGCCUAAUCACCUUUUAAACAACUGGUCCUUGACGUUUGGUUUGCAGGGAAUUAAUAUGUUAAUUAGUAGAAGUAUUCAAGAACAGAUAACAGCUGGUGUUUGUCCUUUAUUUCUUCUUCUGAAGAAUGAUUUAUGUUCCUAGCCAUAUCUUCAGUAUCCAAGAGUUACACAUCAUGAUAUACCACUAUCAGUAUUGUGUAGUGGAUUGAAAUCCUUUGGUAGCAAAAUGCCAUAUAUUACCAAUGUAUUUGUCUUAAAGACCACAAAAUUGUUAUAAUUGUUAUUUGUUGUCAGUUGAUGGUAAUUUGUAAAAUAAAUAUUGAAAUGAAA
Molecule: long non-coding RNA, 2851 nt
Organism: Pecten maximus
Lineage: Eukaryota; Metazoa; Mollusca; Bivalvia; Pectinida; Pectinidae
Exons: 2
Source: RefSeq, a predicted model, not a curated record